Arachis ipaensis is the source of this 487-nucleotide non-coding RNA. NCBI's taxonomy places the organism in Eukaryota, Viridiplantae, Streptophyta, Magnoliopsida, Fabales, Fabaceae. The record is from RefSeq and is a predicted model, not a curated record.
AUGUUUCUUUUUUACCUCUUUCUUUAAUUUACUUGUUAAGAGGGGAUCUACUUUCCAUUAUUGAUUUUGAAUUUCACAACAUAAAUGGUGAAAUAAGUUUGUCAUGUGUGCUUUAUUCUGAACUUUUUACAGGAGUGGAGGAGGUGAGUGCAGAUAGCAAGGGGAGCAAAGUGGUGGUGAAAGGAAAGGAAGCUGACCCCAUGAAAGUGGUUGAGAGGCUUCAAAAGAAAAGUGGUAAAAAAGUAGAGUUCAUUUCACCUUUGCCUAAACCUCAACAAGAAGAACAGGGGAAAAAGGAAGAACCACCCAAAAAAGAAGAGCCUCUGCAACCACCUCAAGAGAACAAAGAUCAGGUACUUCAAUUUAUUCAUUCUCUUUGUCAUCUACUAACCUUUCUCUAUGAUGUUAACAUUGUUACUAAAAUUAGAAAUGUGUAUAGCAUAUGUUUACUUGAGGUGCUUGAUAGAGUUGCUAGAUAAAGCUAUAG